Molecule: ribosomal RNA, 165 nt
Filed under: uncultured bacterium
Lineage: Bacteria
Description: partial 16S rRNA
Rfam family: Bacterial small subunit ribosomal RNA
Source: RNAcentral
UAGGGAAUCUUCCACAAUGGACGCAAGUCUGAUGGAGCAACGCCGCGUGAGUGAAGAAGGUCUUCGGAUCGUAAAACUCUGUUGUAAGAGAAGAACGUGUGUGAGAGUGGAAAGUUCACACAGUGACGGUAACUUACCAGAAAGGGACGGCUAACUACGUGUCAG